UUAAGCGACUAAGCGUACACGGUGGAUGCCCUGGCAGUCAGAGGCGAUGAAGGGCGUGCUAAUCUGCGAUAAGCGCCGGUAAGGUGAUAUGAACCGUUAUAACCGGCGAUACCCGAAUGGGGAAACCCAGUGUGACUCGUCACACUAUCAUUAACUGAAUCCAUAGGUUAAUGAGGCGAACCGGGGGAACUGAAACAUCUAAGUACCCCGAGGAAAAGAAAUCAACCGAGAUUCCCCCAGUAGCGGCGAGCGAACGGGGAGGAGCCCAGAGCCUGAAUCAGCAUGUGUGUUAGUGGAAGCGUCUGGAAAGGCGCGCGAUACAGGGUGACAGCCCCGUACACAAAAGCGCAUGUGCUGUGAGCUCGAUGAGUAGGGCGGGACACGUGGUAUCCUGUCUGAAUAUGGGGGGACCAUCCUCCAAGGCUAAAUACUCCUGACUGACCGAUAGUGAACCAGUACCGUGAGGGAAAGGCGAAAAGAACCCCGGCGAGGGGAGUGAAAAAGAACCUGAAACCGUGUACGUACAAGCAGUGGGAGCACAGGUUUACCUGUGUGACUGCGUACCUUUUGUAUAAUGGGUCAGCGACUUAUAUUCUGUAGCAAGGUUAACCGAAUAGGGGAGCCGGAGGGAAACCGAGUCUUAAUUGGGCGUUAAGUUGCAGGGUAUAGACCCGAAACCCGGUGAUCUAGCCAUGGGCAGGUUGAAGGUUGGGUAACACUAACUGGAGGACCGAACCGACUAAUGUUGAAAAAUUAGCGGAUGACCUGUGGCUGGGGGUGAAAGGCCAAUCAAACCGGGAGAUAGCUGGUUCUCCCCGAAAGCUAUUUAGGUAGCGCCUCGUGAAUUCAUCUCCGGGGGUAGAGCACUGUUUCGGCUAGGGGGCCAUCCCGGCUUACCAACCCGAUGCAAACUGCGAAUACCGGAGAAUGUUAUCACGGGAGACACACGGCGGGUGCUAACGUCCGUCGUGAAGAGGGAAACAACCCAGACCGCCAGCUAAGGUCCCAAAGUCAUGGUUAAGUGGGAAACGAUGUGGGAAGGCCCAGACAGCCAGGAUGUUGGCUUAGAAGCAGCCAUCAUUUAAAGAAAGCGUAAUAGCUCACUGGUCGAGUCGGCCUGCGCGGAAGAUGUAACGGGGCUAAACCAUGCACCGAAGCUGCGGCAGCGACACUGUGUGUUGUUGGGUAGGGGAGCGUUCUGUAAGCCUGUGAAGGUGGCCUGUGAGGGUUGCUGGAGGUAUCAGAAGUGCGAAUGCUGACAUAAGUAACGAUAAAGCGGGUGAAAAGCCCGCUCGCCGGAAGACCAAGGGUUCCUGUCCAACGUUAAUCGGGGCAGGGUGAGUCGACCCCUAAGGCGAGGCCGAAAGGCGUAGUCGAUGGGAAACGGGUUAAUAUUCCCGUACUUGGUGUUACUGCGAAGGGGGGACGGAGAAGGCUAUGUUGGCCGGGCGACGGUUGUCCCGGUUUAAGCGUGUAGGCUGGUUUUCCAGGCAAAUCCGGAAAAUCAAGGCUGAGGCGUGAUGACGAGGCACUACGGUGCUGAAGCAACAAAUGCCCUGCUUCCAGGAAAAGCCUCUAAGCAUCAGGUAACAUCAAAUCGUACCCCAAACCGACACAGGUGGUCAGGUAGAGAAUACCAAGGCGCUUGAGAGAACUCGGGUGAAGGAACUAGGCAAAAUGGUGCCGUAACUUCGGGAGAAGGCACGCUGACACGUAGGUGAAGUGAUUUACUCAUGGAGCUGAAGUCAGUCGAAGAUACCAGCUGGCUGCAACUGUUUAUUAAAAACACAGCACUGUGCAAACACGAAAGUGGACGUAUACGGUGUGACGCCUGCCCGGUGCCGGAAGGUUAAUUGAUGGGGUCAGCGCAAGCGAAGCUCCUGAUCGAAGCCCCGGUAAACGGCGGCCGUAACUAUAACGGUCCUAAGGUAGCGAAAUUCCUUGUCGGGUAAGUUCCGACCUGCACGAAUGGCGUAAUGAUGGCCAGGCUGUCUCCACCCGAGACUCAGUGAAAUUGAACUCGCUGUGAAGAUGCAGUGUACCCGCGGCAAGACGGAAAGACCCCGUGAACCUUUACUAUAGCUUGACACUGAACAUUGAGCCUUGAUGUGUAGGAUAGGUGGGAGGCUUUGAAGCGUGGACGCCAGUCUGCGUGGAGCCGGCCUUGAAAUACCACCCUUUAAUGUUUGAUGUUCUAACGUGGACCCGUUACCCGGGUUGCGGACAGUGUCUGGUGGGUAGUUUGACUGGGGCGGUCUCCUCCUAAAGAGUAACGGAGGAGCACGAAGGUUGGCUAAUCCUGGUCGGACAUCAGGAGGUUAGUGCAAUGGCAUAAGCCAGCUUGACUGCGAGCGUGACGGCGCGAGCAGGUGCGAAAGCAGGUCAUAGUGAUCCGGUGGUUCUGAAUGGAAGGGCCAUCGCUCAACGGAUAAAAGGUACUCCGGGGAUAACAGGCUGAUACCGCCCAAGAGUUCAUAUCGACGGCGGUGUUUGGCACCUCGAUGUCGGCUCAUCACAUCCUGGGGCUGAAGUAGGUCCCAAGGGUAUGGCUGUUCGCCAUUUAAAGUGGUACGCGAGCUGGGUUUAGAACGUCGUGAGACAGUUCGGUCCCUAUCUGCCGUGGGCGCUGGAGAACUGAGGGGGGCUGCUCCUAGUACGAGAGGACCGGAGUGGACGCAUCACUGGUGUUCGGGUUGUCAUGCCAAUGGCACUGCCCGGUAGCUAAAUGCGGAAGAGAUAAGUGCUGAAAGCAUCUAAGCACGAAACUUGCCCCGAGAUGAGUUCUCCCUGAGACUUUAAGUCUCCUGAAGGAACGUUGAAGACGACGACGUUGAUAGGCCGGGUGUGUAAGCGCAGCGAUGCGUUGAGCUAACCGGUACUAAUGAACCGUGAGGCUUAACCUU
Molecule: ribosomal RNA, 2903 nt
Filed under: Salmonella enterica subsp. enterica
Lineage: Bacteria; Pseudomonadati; Pseudomonadota; Gammaproteobacteria; Enterobacterales; Enterobacteriaceae
Description: bacterial LSU rRNA
Rfam family: Bacterial large subunit ribosomal RNA
Source: RNAcentral